CCGAUGUGGCGCGGUGGUAGUGCGUUUGCCAGCCACGCAAAGGGCCCGGGUUCGAUCCCCGGCCGGA
Non-coding RNA from Phthorimaea operculella (potato tuberworm), 67 nucleotides. The record is from the annotation of a GenBank genome assembly. Lineage: Eukaryota; Metazoa; Arthropoda; Insecta; Lepidoptera; Gelechiidae.